GAGACACAUCCUCUAGAAUGAAGAUAGCAAUUUCGGUGCCUUAAAUUGUUGCUCACACCAGUUAGAAAGCUUUCACACCAGUCACGAGUUGCUCUGAUGCCGUCGUGUGCUGUAACUCUUUGGAGAUCAAGCCAUCGUUAAUUUGUGUUCAUUCUUCAUUCAGAUCCACCACUUAGAAUUCAAGUUUUAGAAGAGUAUGAGCAACGUCAUCCCUCGGUUGCUCCAGUAACAACUCACGUGCUAGUGUGUGGGUUUUGAAUAAAUCACAGUUGCAUCGAUUCUUCUCACUCAAUCUUGCCAUCAAUAGUUGGAUUUUGGAGUUUCGGAUUGGGAGUCUUUGGAGAUUUUGGCUAUUGUCCAGCCUUUGGGAAGCUUGGAAUUGGGCGUUUUCACAUAACUUAGGUGAAAAGUAGGAGGUUGCAAAGAAUACGAUUUUGGAGUACCUAUUUUUUUGGAUAAUUCUGGACAGAUCCAAUGAGAAUCUCACUUUCAUUUCUUUAAGUAAGUUGUAGAGAGGUUCCAAAAUGAAGAAUUUGAUAUAAAGUAUUGAAAAAACUAUGUGUAAUUGAAGUUAGCCUAAUGAAUACAUUGCUUGUGUUAGCUCUAUUCAGAAUCACUUCGAUAGAUCACCUUCUCUUGUGGAUGUUAGGAGUUUACUUAUUACUUAAGAAACUAGAUUGAAA
Long non-coding RNA from Cucumis sativus (cucumber), 683 nucleotides. RefSeq lists it as uncharacterized. Lineage: Eukaryota; Viridiplantae; Streptophyta; Magnoliopsida; Cucurbitales; Cucurbitaceae. The record is from RefSeq and is a predicted model, not a curated record. The transcript is spliced from 3 exons.